AUCCAUAGCACAAUAAAGUACAUACAAGAACAGUAUUGUGAAUAUUUCACUGUGAAAGCAUUCAAAUAUCUUACAAUACCCAAAACUAAUUAUUCACUCAGAAGUUUCCACGCACAAACUCUGCAGUUAGGAAAGAUUAAUCAGUAGUGGACAAAGUUAAGGAAGAAAGCAAGUCCAACCCAGUCAAUCUAUUAAACAUGCAAAAAGAAUCUGCCAUUACCUUGAUUCGGGACUAAAUCUAGUCUCGGUGACUCAACGGUAUCAUCCCAACAGAGUCCUUAGUUUGUUUUUCAUGAUCAGUCAUCUCGAUGGCUAAAUACUCCUUUAAUUUUGCCACCACAUAAGUCACAGUUGGCCUUCUAAUAGAAUUUCAAGAAACACACGUCGUUGCCAAUUCUACAACUUUCUACACAGAUGUCACAACAAAUUCUCCUCACAUCCCCUCCAAGCAGAACUGCUCGUCUCUAUUGAAUUAAGUGUGCCUUUUUGUUAUUUUUUGCUACCGCUGGGUGACCAGUGACGAUCUCCAAGAGAGCAAUACCAAAACUAUAAACAUCACUUUUUUCUGACAACUGACUGGUUAAGUAAUACCUGCAAACAAGAAGAAACUUAUAGCGACAUUUGUACCUAAGAAGCCAAUUGCGUUAGAAUUAAAACAAGAAUUAAAAAGGAUGUAAUAUAUAUGAUUAGAUUGGGUUGGAUCAAAUGAAGAAGUGAUGAACCUCCAACGUUAAAGAAUAAGAUGUUCAUAAAAUCAACUUAGUCAAAACAAGGAUGUUAAGAUACCAAAAUGGAUAAGAUAAUAGAUCAGAUAUACAAAUAGAGGUGGUUGGGCUAAAAGGUUCCCAGGACAAAUUACUGGUACAUAUAUUUAUCUAGUACAUAUAUUGUAGCACAGUGCAAUUUAGAUAAGGACCUCCAAAAGAAAUUAUCUGUGUCCUUGACUUGAUGAAGGGGAGAGCAUCUUUACAGCAACUUGAGUGUCACCUACAAAGCCAUGAUAUACUGUACAAAAUCCACCUUUGUCCAUAACUUUCUGGCAGUUAUUUGUGAUUUUCAUGACCUCUGAGUAUGUAAACUUUGCCAAUAAGUUAUUGGUCAAUAAUACAGGAGGAGCUCAGAGAAGAACAGUAAAUUGUUCGUAUUUAUGGACUCGAAAUCCAAAAUAGAAAAUAAAUUGACGUACCAUCAUUAUCUUCUGUCUCUGAGUUCGAAAAAUCUUUCCAAGGCAUACACUUCUGCAGCACUAAUGAUUGGUGGGAGAGUUGAAUUUGCAGUUUUUAUUUAGUGUGACUACAUACUUGGAACGACCAGUCACACUAAAACAAGUAGGUGGUGUAUAUUGUAUAUGAAGAUAGAUAAUAUGGAGAGUUUCUCAUGCUAGAUAAUUCCGUUCACAGAGAUGCUGAAUUCUCUGUUUUUGUUUGCUUGUAGUUCUUGUAAUUCAGCAAAGUAAAAAUACAUGUAAAGUAUAACAUUGAGAUUAUUAGACUCCCAGUAGAAGGAAACAGAGUAGUUAGCAUUUUUAGACGGCAGUUGUCAAGACAGCAGAAGGUGGCUUAAAAUAGUCUGCACUGUUAUAUAUGGGAUAUAUUGUAAAUACAAUACUGUUGAUCAAGGUCCAGGGCCUCCAUAUACGAUCAUAAACAUCAUCUUUGUACCUAAGCAAGGUUGAUCAUGUCUUAGUGCUGAUGGCAGUAAACAAAUGAAUACAAAAAAAAUACUGAACUAAAUAUUUGAACAAGAGGAAUUCAAGCAUAACACAAGCAGCAUGACUCAACUGAUUAAUUUGUCGGAAGAUGGGGCAAAAUUCACCCGGUCAAUGAGUUGUAGAGAUUUAUUCACUGUUGGGUAUAUGAUAAUAGUCAAUGGCCUCAAUUCUAAAGCUGAUAUAAAGGGGGUCGUUAAUCCCGAUUUUACAAUACAAACGUUAAUAUAAUCUGAUGCAGGGAUGUGUAUAAUAUCCUUCCUUAGUAGAGUGGAUUCAUUUUUCAACGUAACUGUGUCCCAUAAAUCAACUCCUAGAUACAGAUCAAAUGUUGGCAAUUCACCCCUGGAAUCGUAAUUUCCAUACAUAAAACUUAUUCUUAUCAAAUAAUUGUUACCCUUGCCUUGAGCAGGUCUUAGCGUAUAGCAGUUUCGGGUUCCUUGAGGAAAGCUUCUAAGAUAUUAGAACUGCCUUUCAAGGGAAUUGUUCUGAAAUGUAACUGAUAUGCUCUUGUUUGCACCACUGUCUACAAAGCCUGCAUCUGAACUAUAUAUUAUGCCAGUUA
Molecule: long non-coding RNA, 2273 nt
Filed under: Olea europaea subsp. europaea
Lineage: Eukaryota; Viridiplantae; Streptophyta; Magnoliopsida; Lamiales; Oleaceae
Source: RNAcentral